GAUGAACGCUGGCGGCGUGCCUAAUACAUGCAAGUCGAGCGAACGGACGAGAAGCUUGCUUCUCUGAUGUUAGCGGCGGACGGGUGAGUAACACGUGGAUAACCUACCUAUAAGACUGGGAUAACUUCGGGAAACCGGAGCUAAUACCGGAUGAUAUUUUGAACCGCAUGGUUAAAAAGUGAAAGACGGUCUUGCUGUCACUUAUGGAUGAAUCCGCGCUGCAUUAGCUAGUUGGUAAGGUAACGGCUUACCAAGGCAACGAUGCAUAGCCGACCUGAGAGGGUGAUCGGCCACACUGGAACUGAGACACGGUCCAGACUCCUACGGGAGGCAGCAGUAGGGAAUCUUCCGCAAUGGGCGAAAGCCUGACGGAGCAACGCCGCGUGAGUGAUGAAGGUCUUCGGAUCGUAAAACUCUGUUAUUAGGGAAGAACAUAUGUGUAAGUAACUGUGCACAUCUUGACGGUACCUAAUCAGAAAGCCACGGCUAACUACGUG
This 497-nucleotide ribosomal RNA is filed under the name uncultured bacterium. RNAcentral describes it as "partial 16S ribosomal RNA". It matches the Rfam family "Bacterial small subunit ribosomal RNA", at positions 28 to 507 of the family's 1533-position model. The record is from RNAcentral.